AAUGGAUCAGACUCAAUAACAUGGUAUUUUGGGGCAGACAAUAUCUGGCAGUCAUUUUGUAACUGCCAGACCUUUGGGGAAAUUUCUUUCAUAUGAUUAAUUUGUUUAAGCCAGAGGCUUUCCAUACUGAAAUACUUUCCAUUGUACUCACAGUUUGACAAAUCCACUUUCAAAAGCUGUGCUUGCCUCAUUUCAUAGGUUUGCCACAAUGCUAAUCUCAAACUUGUGGAACUGGGCAAAAGCAGAGCCAAGUAAGGUUAUUGGCUUGGCGUUAAGACCCUGAUUAUUCCAACAUUUAUGCUGUUUUAUGCUCCACAAAUGUUAUUUGAUCCAAAGGAACUGUUUCUUCCGGGAGCUAAUAUCUCUCCAGAACGGAGAUAUAACUUAGAUAGUGCAAAUGCCUUCAUGGGCUACUAAGAUUGCUAUUUCUAAAUUAAGAGCAGAAUCCUAUCUGUUAAAUCUUCAUCUGCGGAGGGUAGCAUAUAGUAAAGAGUAGUAACAGACCCACCUGUUAAUAAUUUUCCACAAAAUAAUUAUCCUUUUUUUUAAUGUUCUGAAUCAGAGCUGGUGAUGCCAGUCGUUAAAGAAUCACUCUUUUGAGUUGAAUUGCGAAUAGCAUUUAAUGCAUUAUCUGAAUAGGUUCACGAUUCAGUCUGUAUUUUUGAAAUUGCUCGCUGACGCACUGAAAGCUUUAGUUUCUAUACAAUGAGAUCAUUUUGGAGACACAGAAGACAAAGUGAACUGGAUUUUUACUUACAACUCAUGAAAUAAACGUACAGAGCGACGAAGAAGGCUCAACACCUGCACGUAAACUCCCCUGUAGGCUACUGCAGGUAAAUACAUUUUCCUACCAAGUACGUUAACUUUGUUUAUGUUUGUUUAUUUAUUUUUUAUGUUUUCCAAAUGUUGUGGUCAAAAAAUUAUUAUUAUUAUGAUUAUUAUCCUUCUUAGUACAGUGGAUGGUUGAUACAUGAGUAGGUGGUCCUUUACUCUGAUUACAAAUAUUUUGGACCCCAUUGACACCUGUAGUAAGCACUGACAACUUGAGAUUGGAUCACUCAAGAUGGAUGUUAAUACUAGAUGUAAAUUGGCAUAAACCUCUAGUUUGUUGUUCCCAACCUGUUUGAAAGCAAGCUUUGGGCAGUUUUACCACCAUGUAGUACUUGUAUUUUUGUAUGUUUAACAAACAUUUGACCUUGUAUUUGAUUAGGACAAUUGCCAUUACAAUCAAGCUGUUGACUUCGUUAACAUAAGAACUGAGUGGACAUUCUCAUUUUGCAAGUGCAUUUUUUUUUUUAUUUGGACUGUACUUGUCUCUCGCUCUUUCCGGAAUAAUCCUCAAAAAAGCUUCCUAGAUUGAAUAUGCAGUUUAUUGGGUAUAGCCACAGCUAAACGUUAAACAGAAUGACUCAUGGGAAAGAAUAAAAAUACGUCUGCUAUUCUAGAGAGGGAUGGCACAUCUGCAGGUCAUCGGAAGAAAGAAGCACCGGUGAGCUCUGAGAUAAAAGAUAAAGAUGACAGAGCUCUUUAGUGCCCUGUUAAAAAAGAAAAGAGAACAAGACGCCACUCAUCCUCACCAGGCCAGCUUCAUUUGCUUAAUGGCACACAGCUUGAGUAGGGCCAGCUCCCCUAAUAAUGAUCUAACAGUGCAACAAGGCGAGAACUAAGAUAUGGAAAUAUUGAAAUUCAUAUAGGCAGGCUGAAAGCAUCUCAGCAUUGAUCUAGCCUCAGCAUGGGUAAAAAGCAGCGCUCCUUUAAUCAGGGCAGGCCAGGAGCCUUUGGCUACACAGAGGUCCCUCUCAAGAUAAGCCUGUCCUACAGCACAGCUAGCUGAGAUGAGGGGAAGAGAGAGUGAAGCCUGGGGGCCUGAGCAGAGAGUAGAACCAGGACUGAAUCUCAAAUCAACUCAUUAUUCCCUACCUGCUGCACCUUUGUCGUGCAUGGAGAGUGCUUCUUAAUUCAAGCACCACUGCAGGACCAGGGUUACUGUUUUUUUUUGUUUUGUUUUUUUCUAACAAGAGACCCAAUUUGAUGUUCUUUGUGUUCUGGGUCAGUGGCGUGACACUAAUAUUAUUUUUGUCUUACCUAUUCAUUA
Long non-coding RNA from Cyprinus carpio carpio, 2095 nucleotides. The record is from Ensembl. Lineage: Eukaryota; Metazoa; Chordata; Actinopteri; Cypriniformes; Cyprinidae.